Cairina moschata (Muscovy duck) is the source of this 1692-nucleotide long non-coding RNA. Lineage: Eukaryota; Metazoa; Chordata; Aves; Anseriformes; Anatidae. The record is from Ensembl.
AUGGGGCCAGCCCCAACGUGGCUCUCAACCCCAACACAGCCCCCAGCCCCCCCUGCCUGGCACCCCCAGCCCCCCCCAAGUCUCCCCAAUCCCCCCCCAGCCCGGUGGGCGCCACGGGAGAGGGGCAGGGCAGGGCAGAGCCGGGGGGGGGGGAGCGGCACCAACCUGCACGAGCAGCUCCGCGGGCCUCGCCUGUAUCCGGCCGGGGCGCAGCAGCCAAGCAGGAGCUCUGGGCAGGCUUCUGUCCCCUUUUUCUCCUCGGCUCUUUACGCAAAGCGCCCGACACCAGCACCUCGGCUCCCCCCCGCUGCCGGGGGAGCCAAACCUCCAGCGUCAGGCCUCGGCGUUCGCUGCUCGAGCUGGUGGGCUUGCCAGAAGCCCCCCGCGAGUCCUUUUGUUGGCGUUUCCUUCCCACAACUCUGUCACCCAAACCUUCUCUCUCUUUUUUUCCUAUUUCACCCUGAAAUAACUUACGGACACAGGGGGCGGAGGAGGAGGAGGAGGAAAGUCCAGGCCCAGCCUCGGGUCCCGGGGCCGCUCCGUUCCCAGCCCGCGGCCGUUCGGGGCGACCCCGCUCCCUUCUCCCAGCGGCUCCCAAGCGGGGGGGCGGCCGCUCAGAGCGCCCCAAAGCCCUGCCCGGUCCCUACCGCGCCCCCAGGAGCUGCCCCAGGUCACGGCACCAGGCACAGGGCUCCUGCAGCGGGCCAGGCCAGCCCUCAGCCCAUCCCUUCCCCCCCUCAGGGUCUCAGCUCCGUGCUCCUCACCCCUCGGCUCCCCGGGGCUCGCUCCCCCCCGGCAGGGCCCCCCCGGGCACCGAGGGGCCGCUGGGCCCCGCUCAGCCCCGGCCCCGCUCCCCUCCUUUUCCCGCAGCCGCCCCGAGGCCUCGGCCCCGCCCGGGGGCUCCCCGCGGCCUCCCCCGGGCCCCGCUCGAGAACCGGCGGGGGGGGAACCCCGGAGCCAAGGCCUGGCUGGGGGAGGGGGUGCGGGGCUGACACCGAGGCCGGGGAGCUCCGAGGGGGGGGGGGGCGGCCCCGCGGGCUGAGCGCUGCGGCCCCCCCGGGGCCUCCCCACGGCCUCCCCGCCCGAGGCCUCGCGGGCCGGGCCGGGCCGGGGCCUGUCAGGCGCCGCCGCUGCCGCCGCCGGGCCGGGCCCUCACCGCAGGCGCCGCCGCGGCUCGCCUUAGGCCGCCGCCGCCGCCGCCAUUCCCGCCCGCUCGGCCCCGCUGCGCUCCCCCCGGGCCGCCGCUGCCCGGGCCCAGGCGCCGCCGCCGCCGCCUCCCGUCAGGGCCGGGCCAGGCUCGGCGCCGCCAUGUUGGCUCCGUCCGCUCCGCUCCCCGCUCGCGGGCGGCUCUCGCGGCGCGAUGCCACAUCCGGCCCCACCCCCCCGAGGCCCCGCCCACAUCCGGGCCCCGCGCACCUCGCCGGCUUCACGCCCGUUGGGAAAGCUGGGGGAGAGGAGCCAUGUUGGAUAAGGGCAGGAGGGCGGGGACUUCCGGGGAGGGGGGCGCCGGCUUCAGCGCCCUUCCGGAGCGUUGCGGCGUGGCCGCCAUAUUGGGUGUGGGCAGGCUGGCAAGGCGGCGGCCCGCCCGCCCGGUUGGGCGCGCGCCGCCGCCGCCAUCUUGGGAGGGGGCGGGCGGGGUUCGCCGGGCGGCUUCGCGCCCAUUGCGGGCCACGGGGGGCGCCGCCAUCUUGA